RNAcentral lists this ribosomal RNA (464 nucleotides) under uncultured bacterium. Its description in RNAcentral is "partial 16S ribosomal RNA". It matches the Rfam family "Bacterial small subunit ribosomal RNA", at positions 339 to 795 of the family's 1533-position model. The record is from RNAcentral.
CUACGGGUGGCACCAGUGGGGAAUAUUGCACAAUGGGCGCAAGCCUGAUGCAGCCAUGCCGCGUGUAUGAAGAAGGCCUUCGGGUUGUAAAGUACUUUCAGCGGGGAGGAAGGGAGUAAAGUUAAUACCUUUGCUCAUUGACGUUACCCGCAGAAGAAGCACCGGCUAACUCCGUGCCAGCAGCCGCGGUAAUACGGAGGGUGCAAGCGUUAAUCGGAAUUACUGGGCGUAAAGCGCACGCAGGCGGUUUGUUAAGUCAGAUGUGAAAUCCCCGGGCUCAACCUGGGAACUGCAUCUGAUACUGGCAAGCUGGAGUCUCGUAGAGGGGGGUAGAAUUCCAGGUGUAGCGGUGAAAUGCGUAGAGAUCUGGAGGAAUACCGGUGGCGAAGGCGGCCCCCUGGACGAAGACUGACGCUCAGGUGCGAAAGCGUGGGGAGCAAACAGGAUUAGAUACCCGUGUAGUC